CGACCGGCGCACGGGUGCGUAACGCGUAUGCAACCUACCUGUAACAGGGGGAUAACACUGAGAAAUCGGUACUAAUACCGCAUAACACUAUGAGAGGCAUCUCUUGUGGUUGAAAGUUUCGGCGGUUACAGAUGGGCAUGCGUUGUAUUAGCUGGUUGGUAAGGUAACGGCUUACCAAGGCGACGAUACAUAGGGGGACUGAGAGGUUAACCCCCCACAUUGGUACUGAGACACGGACCAAACUCCUACGGGAGGCAGCAG
RNAcentral lists this ribosomal RNA (261 nucleotides) under uncultured bacterium. Its description in RNAcentral is "partial 16S ribosomal RNA". It matches the Rfam family "Bacterial small subunit ribosomal RNA", at positions 92 to 354 of the family's 1533-position model. The record is from RNAcentral.